Molecule: ribosomal RNA, 443 nt
Filed under: uncultured bacterium
Lineage: Bacteria
Description: partial 16S ribosomal RNA
Rfam family: Bacterial small subunit ribosomal RNA
Source: RNAcentral
CCUACGGGAGGCUGCAGUGGGGAAUAUUGGGCAAUGUGCGCAAGCCUGACCCAGCAACGCCGCGUGAAGGAAGAAGGCUUUCGGGUUGUACACUUCUUUUCUCAGGGACGAAGCAAGUGACGGUACCUGAGGAAUAAGCCACGGCUAACUACGUGCCAGCAGCCGCGGUAAUACGUAGGUGGCAAGCGUUAUCCGGAUUUACUGGGUGUAAAGGGCGUAUAGGCGGGACUGCAAGUCAGAAGUGAAAACCACGGGCUCAACAUGUGGCCUGCAUGUGAACCGGUAGUUCGUGAGUACUGGAGAGGCAGACGGAAUUCCUAGUGUAGCGGUGAAAUGCGUAGAUAUUAGGAGGAACACCAGUGGCGAAGGCGGUCUGCUGGACAGCAACUGACGCUGAGGCGCGAAAGCGUGGGGAGCAAACAGGAGUAGAUACCCCUGUAGUC